GCCAGUUUUCAACCUUGGUAUAUAAGCCCA
This 30-nucleotide non-coding RNA is filed under the name Mus musculus (house mouse). Lineage: Eukaryota; Metazoa; Chordata; Mammalia; Rodentia; Muridae. The record is from RNAcentral.